CAGGCCUAACACAUGCAAGUCGUACGAUCCUUAAGUGGCUUGCCAUUUAAGGAGAGUGGCGAACGGGUGAGUAACACGUGAGUAAUCUGCCCCCGAGUGAGGAAUAACUCCGCGAAAGCGGGGCUAAUACCGCAUAACACUCUGAAGCACACGCUUUCAGAGUCAAAGCCUUCGGGUGCUUGGGGAUGAGCUCGCGGCCUAUUAGCUUGUUGGUGGGGUAAUGGCCCACCAAGGUAAUGAUGGGUAGCCGGCCUGAGAGGGUGUACGGCCACACUGGAACUGCGACACGGUCCAGACUCCUACGGGAGGCAGCAGUGGGGAAUUUUGCGCAAUGGGCGAAAGCCUGACGCAGCGACGCCGCGUGGAGGAAUAAGGCCUUCGGGUUGUAAACUCCUGUCAGAGGUGAAGAAUGCCCUUCGGGGUUUGACGGUAACCUCAGAGGAAGCCCCGGCUAACUACGUGCCAGCAGCCGCGGUAAU
RNAcentral lists this ribosomal RNA (479 nucleotides) under uncultured bacterium. Its description in RNAcentral is "bacterial SSU rRNA". It matches the Rfam family "Bacterial small subunit ribosomal RNA", at positions 43 to 524 of the family's 1533-position model. The record is from RNAcentral.